CCUACGGGUGGCUGCAGUAGGGAAUUUUGCGCAAUGGGCGAAAGCCUGACGCAGCAACACCGCGUGAAUGUUAAGCCCUUCGGGGAGUAAAGUUCUGUCAAUAGGGACGAAUUUUGACUGUACCUAUACAGGAAGCACCGUCUAACUCCGUACCAGCAGACGCGGUUAUACGGGGGGUGCAAGCGUUGUCCGGAGUCUUUGGGCGUAAGGGUUCGUUGGCGGGAAGGUAGGUCUGAUGGUAAAGCCCGGGGCUCAACUCCGGUUCGGCAUUGGAUACUUUCUAGCUAGAAUGUGGUAGAGGUAAAGGGAAUUCCUGGUGUAGCGGUGAAAUGCGUAGAUAUCAGGAGGAACAUCGGUGGCGAAAGCGCGUUACUGGACCAUUAUUGACGCUGAGGAACGAAAGCCAGGGGAGCAAAUGGGAUUAGAUACCCCUGUAGUC
This 439-nucleotide ribosomal RNA is filed under the name uncultured bacterium. Its description in RNAcentral is "partial 16S ribosomal RNA". It matches the Rfam family "Bacterial small subunit ribosomal RNA", at positions 338 to 795 of the family's 1533-position model. The record is from RNAcentral.